CGUCAGGGAGCCGAGAUGCGGUUGCUAGGAGCUCUCGCCUCGUCGCUAGGGGACGCUGGAGAUGCCGCCGGGGGCGGGGGAAAAGGGACCAGGGACAGCAGAUGCACUGGACCAACCUGAAGAACAAUAAGGCUGCUGUCACUCAGCCAUGCCACCCUCUUCACCACCAAGUCCCAGCUCGCCAGGCCGGGGCCUUCUCCUCGGCACCAACUCAUGGGUACUUCCCGGAUGACCAGCCAAAUAUCACAAACCCGUCUCCACCAAACCCAUUUCUUCUUCCAGAAUCCUCAUCCAGGUUGAUGGCAGCAUCACUUACCUGGGUGCCAAGUGUGCCACUUGAGGGUUAACCCUUGAUGUUCAGCUCCACAUGCGAUCAAAACCCAAGUCAUGGCCCCUUUACCCUCUUUCCACAUCCCCCAGGUCCAAGGCAGCUCCACUGGGGGCCGCUCCACGGGGAGUUAAGGUGGUGCCAUGGUGCCGUGAUGCCAUGGCUAGGAGUGGGUUUCCAGGAUCGGACGGACCUGGGUUUGAAGCCUGUUCUACCACUGACUCACUCUGUGACCCUGGGCAAGCUAUUUCACUUCUCUGAGACUCAGUUUCCUUUCUGUGAAAUAGGAGUCAUAAUAGUACCUACUUCUUGGGGCUGUUGAGAAUUUAACUGGCAUGGUCAAUAUAGAGUGCUUUGCUUGGGCCUGUUCAGUUAGUGAUGAAUUUUACCUGCUGGUAUGAGUUCAUCCCCAUCUCUCACCUAUACCCCCCACACCGAGGCUGUGGCCUCCUUACCGUACCCCCCACCGCCUAAUCCAUCCACCACCUUGUUCCCAGGGAGGUUGAAAAUGCAAACCUGAUCAUCCGGCUUCUUGGCUUGCCAUCUCUCUGUGGCUCUCCUGGAACCACCAGAGGAUGACACAGGUAGUCCUUCUGGAAUCGAUCCCCUCUACUACCUCUAACCCUGUCCCCCAGCUCUGCACCCUGCACACAUGCUCCAUGCUCGGACCUCGGCUGCUUCCUUCAGGACCCUAAUCAUUGGUGCCUGGUGCCCUUUCACGUGCUCGCCAUCUGCCGGGAAGAUUUUAUGCCUCAACUUCAACUCCUAUUUUUACCUAAAAAAUUUCUUUUCAUCUCACGAAACCUAGAUUGGGCCUUCAUAUCUAUGACGUCCUCCAAGCACCCUGCUCCCCUGCUUUAUCCCUCCACUUUCCUGGUAACCCCUGUGUGGUUAUUUAUUCCCUUCUAUGACACCCUUCUCCAUCUUAGUGCCCAGCAUCCAGCACAGGUCUGACACCUAGUAUAUCCAAAGACUUUGGUUGAGUGAUUGAACAAAACCAGCCAAUGUCUCCCAAUGGCCCUGAAUGUGUCAGCAGGUCUCAGGGACACUCUGCCUUUCCUCAAGUCCCCUGUUCUCUGUGUUUCCUAGAUAUGGAGAGGAACAGACACAUAUGCCACACAUGCACACUCAUCCCCACACGUGCACACACACACUCAUAAGCAUGUGCAUGCGCACACACACACACUUUCUCAUUGUCGUCUCCUCCUUCAGCCUCUAGAUCUGUGCUGCCCGUUGUGGUAACCCCUAACCACAUUUAGCUCUUGAGUGCUUAAAAUGCGGCUAGUCUGAAUUGACAUGGGUUGUAAGUAUAAAAUAUACACUGAACUUUGAAGGUUUGUUUGCAAAAAAAAAAAAAAAGAAUCUAAAAUAUCUUAAUUUUAUAU
This is a long non-coding RNA of Canis lupus familiaris (dog), 1713 nucleotides long. RefSeq lists it as uncharacterized. The transcript has 2 exons. Lineage: Eukaryota; Metazoa; Chordata; Mammalia; Carnivora; Canidae. The record is from RefSeq and is a predicted model, not a curated record.